GAUGAACGCUGGCGGCGUGCCUAAUACAUGCAAGUCGAGCGAACAGACGAGGAGCUUGCUCCUCUGACGUUAGCGGCGGACGGGUGAGUAACACGUGGAUAACCUACCUAUAAGACUGGGAUAACUUCGGGAAACCGGAGCUAAUACCGGAUAAUAUAUUGAACCGCAUGGUUCAAUAGUGAAAGACGGUUUUGCUGUCACUUAUAGAUGGAUCCGCGCCGCAUUAGCUAGUUGGUAAGGUAACGGCUUACCAAGGCAACGAUGCGUAGCCGACCUGAGAGGGUGAUCGGCCACACUGGAACUGAGACACGGUCCAGACUCCUACGGGAGGCAGCAGUAGGGAAUCUUCCGCAAUGGGCGAAAGCCUGACGGAGCAACGCCGCGUGAGUGAUGAAGGUCUUCGGACCGUAAAACUCUGUUAUUAGGGAAGAACAAAUGUGUAAGUAACUAUGCACGUCUUGACGGUACCUAAUCAAAAAGCCACGGCUAACUACGUG
This 497-nucleotide ribosomal RNA is filed under the name uncultured bacterium. RNAcentral describes it as "partial 16S ribosomal RNA". It matches the Rfam family "Bacterial small subunit ribosomal RNA", at positions 28 to 507 of the family's 1533-position model. The record is from RNAcentral.